RNAcentral lists this transfer RNA (68 nucleotides) under Flavobacteriales bacterium. RNAcentral's name for it is "tRNA-Thr". It matches the Rfam family "tRNA". Rfam says of the family: Transfer RNA (tRNA) molecules are approximately 80 nucleotides in length. Their secondary structure includes four short double-helical elements and three loops (D, anti-codon, and T loops). Further hydrogen bonds mediate the characteristic L-shaped molecular structure. tRNAs have two regions of fundamental functional importance: the anti-codon, which is responsible for specific mRNA codon recognition, and the 3' end, to which the tRNAs corresponding amino acid is attached (by aminoacyl-tRNA synthetases). tRNAs cope with the degeneracy of the genetic code in two manners: having more than one tRNA (with a specific anti-codon) for a particular amino acid; and 'wobble' base-pairing, i.e. permitting non-standard base-pairing at the 3rd anti-codon position. Lineage: Bacteria; Pseudomonadati; Bacteroidota; Flavobacteriia; Flavobacteriales. The record is from RNAcentral.
GCCUUUGUAGCUCAGAGGUAGAGCACUUCCUUGGUAAGGAAGNNGUUCAAUUCCCGGCAAAGGCUCCA